This 408-nucleotide ribosomal RNA is filed under the name uncultured bacterium. RNAcentral describes it as "partial 16S ribosomal RNA". It matches the Rfam family "Bacterial small subunit ribosomal RNA", at positions 28 to 526 of the family's 1533-position model. The record is from RNAcentral.
GACGAACGCUGGCGGCGUGCUUAACACAUGCAAGUCGAACGGAGUGGCGAACGGGUGAGUAACACGUGGGUGAUCUGCCUUGCACUUCGGGAUAAGCUUGGGAAACUGGGUCUAAUACCGGAUAGUGCAAGAUGAGCUCGGGGCCUAUCAGCUUGUUGGUGGGGUAAUGGCCUACCAAGGCGUCGACGGGUAGCCGGCCUGAGAGGGUGUACGGGCACAUUGGGCCUGAGUUACGGCCCAGACUCCUACGGGAGACAGCAGUGGGGGAUAGUGCACAAUGGGCGGAAGCCCGAUGCAGCGACGCCGGGUGGGGGGUGAAGGCCUUCGGUUUGUAAUCUCCUUUCGCCAGGGACGCGGUACCUGUAUAAGAAGCACCGGCUAACUACGUGCCAGCAGCCGCGGUAAUAC